This 29-nucleotide non-coding RNA is filed under the name Mus musculus (house mouse). Lineage: Eukaryota; Metazoa; Chordata; Mammalia; Rodentia; Muridae. The record is from RNAcentral.
UAAAAUGUCACAUUAUGGUUUCCCAAUUA